Canis lupus familiaris (dog) is the source of this 2795-nucleotide long non-coding RNA. RefSeq lists it as uncharacterized. The transcript has 4 exons. The record is from RefSeq and is a predicted model, not a curated record. NCBI's taxonomy places the organism in Eukaryota, Metazoa, Chordata, Mammalia, Carnivora, Canidae.
GAACUCCAGGCUCUAUUCCCAACCCGCUCUGAGGAUCCUUCUGGCCUCCGUUUCUCACCUCUAUGAGCGGGGCCCAACGACCUCCACGUCCCUUCCAGCUCUCAGGUUCUUUAUUUCUAGGAUUCGUUCAACUGAUGAGACAGGGGCACUGAUGAGAGAGAGGUGUCGGCCGAACAACAGGACCACACGUAUGUGCAUGUGUGGGGUGUCGUGGGAGUGGGUGAGGUGGGCUAGCAUUCCUGCCACGCCAGCCCCGCGUGGACCAAGGGACGGAACACUGGGAAUUAACCGCCCUCACCUUUGUGUAACUGCCUCUUUGCCUUUUGAUUAAGCAGAGCAGCAUCCAGGCCACCAAAGCCUGCCUCCCCUGGGGCACACGUCUGCACCACUGACCGCGCUCCGAGAGGCUGAAGCCUUUGGCGCUUCAGCCCUGACGAUCCCCUGGUGGCCCCUCUACAGGUGUGCCCACGGGUCAGGGCCUACAGAGGUGUGGAGGCCGAGCUGGGGGAGGCAGGGCAAGGGAAGCGAAAGCACCACUGUGAAAGCACCAGCGCCGGGGCAGGUGGAGGGAAGCCCACGAGCAAACGUGCAGCCAGGGCCAUGCUGGAUGCUCCUCAGGCAAUCGAAUCGAGACGGGGAGAAGAGCGUUCAGUUGCAGGGAGACAGGCCCGUGGCUUCCACCAGCAGCUCGGCCCCUGCCUCCUCCCACCGAGCCAACGGCGCUCCCAGAUCUGGGACCAGGGACGUAAUUUGUAUCCUGCUUCAUGUGCAUCUGCAUGCGGGCUUCACGGUGCUUAAUUCCGAGUGGGGACCUCCAACACCGAGGCCAGUCCUCCACAGCUGUCCUCAAACCCAGAAUCACUGAAACCUUAAAACCAGUGUGUUCGAUCGAAUCCCCAGCGCAGCAGCACCCGAGGGCCGGCUUUUAAGGCUCCACGUAAUUCUAGAAGCGGACUCUAGGAGAUCUGAUGGUGCAGUGCGACCUAGAGCUGCCUCGGUGGUGAGAUGUGGGGAAAGAGGCUCAUCCCCAGGCUGACCCCCUGUGAGGCGGGGCACUUGAACCUCUCUGGCGUGGAGAAGCCGUAAGGAGUGUCUUUGCCGUAUUUGAUAGGGCCACCCGUAUCUGCUGGGCGGCUACUGCUUGCAGGACAGCAUGCAUCGAGCCCCCCUCCCACUGCUUGCUGCCCGCCUGGGGAGCUGAGACCCAUCACCCGACACUGAGUAAACCUCCUCCCCUCCCCGGUCUCGGGGGCCACGUCUAAGUGGACGGCAGGCCGAGGACUCUGUCCGGACUGGCUCAGGACGGGCACCGAGAGCGUCUGGGUGGCCCUUUUUACCUCCAGGGCCAGCACAGGGAAGGCUCCCAAAACAUAUCAGGUCGAUCGAUCAGCACAAGAAUGAGUCAAUUAAACGUGAGUCGAGGCAGUAGGGCCACCUGCAGGUUGGCACAGACCCCAACCAGGCCCGUGCCGAGGGCCACCAGGAAGCCUCAGGGAGAGACGGGAGCCCUGCCCAGGUCCUCCCGAGGUCCGUGACCUCAGUCAGGGCAGCAAGAACCACCCAGAAACCCCGGCAUCAUCCUCAGGUUCCUCUCUGGGUUGACAUUCACCUCGAGUCUCUCAACAGCAGAUCUGGAAACAGCCAGCUCCUGCCCUCCCUGCGCAAGGGCAAGCUCACAAAGGCCGGACUGACAGGAUAUUACAGAGAUCAGAGACUUCAAGCCCCGGAGCCUCGGAUUCACGCGCAGAUGACGCCAAAGACAGGCCAAUACGGAGGGACCAUCAGGGAAGAUUACAGGCCUGACACCCCAGUCUGUAAUUAAAAUGUCAUUCUGUCUCUGCCCCAGCCCCUCAACGAGUAUCAGGACAGCCCACUCUCUCCUCCACCCCUUGGCUCAUCCUCCCUCCUCCUGCAUCUUCUUGGAAAGCCUUCCAGGUGCAGCCGGCAACGCGAGGGGGACACAGCCCGCCCGCCCGGACUCAGGCGCUCCCCCAGCCUUGACUGACCAUCUGGCAGCCCCAGUCCGCUCCUCCCAACAGCCUCCCUGCAGGAGUCAGGCUGACUGUGGUGGGCCACUAUGUAUUCUGCUGGAUUUCUAUGAGCGGCGUCGCGCACAGCCCGUGGGGUCGUGGGAUGCUCCCCAGCACCUCCUCCCCGCUUCACGGCAGUCUCAGGCCAGGCCACCCCUGCCAGGGGCCUGCGUCCCGCGUGGGCUCCUCCUCCCCGACACCCGCACAGCGGCUCCGGCAGCUCCACCCUGCACCCCUGAGAUCCCAGCAGCAUGCAGAGGGCUCCGCUGUCCUUCUGGCCUCAAAAAUACAUUGAACGGGGCAGCUCAGCAGUUUGGCACCUGCCUUCCGCCCAGAGCGUGAUCCUGGAGACCCAGGAUCGAGUCCCACGUCGGGCUCCCUGUGUGGAGCCUGCUUCUCCCUCUGCCUGUGUCUCUGCCUCUCUCUGUGUGUCUCUCUCAUGAUUAACUAAAGAAAAUCUUAAAAAAAAAAUACAUUGGACGCAUCCAUCAGUCAUUCUGUAUCAAUCAAGAUUAAUACAGAAACAGCUCAGAAUCAGCCAACCUGACAAAGAAAUGAACCCCCACGUUACCCUGAGCCACACUCCUUUCCUUUACCGCCAUCAAAUAUGUGGUCUCCCUCCCCAAGAGCCAGUUGGUGGAUUUUCAUUUUACCACAUUUUCCUUUACCACAUUAAAGAAAUGUCAAUUUGGGGCAUCUGGGUGGUUCAGUCGAUCAAGCAUCUGCCUUUGGCUCAGGUCAUGAUCUCGGGGUCCUGGGGAUCGA